Long non-coding RNA from Cervus elaphus (red deer), 98 nucleotides. RefSeq lists it as uncharacterized. The transcript is spliced from 3 exons. The record is from RefSeq and is a predicted model, not a curated record. Lineage: Eukaryota; Metazoa; Chordata; Mammalia; Artiodactyla; Cervidae.
UAAAUGACUGUGCUACCCCUUUUCACAUCAAAGAAUGGAGAACUACUGACAACAUAGGCCACGCCUGCCUCUCCCUCCUGCCAUAUAGGCAGAUAGGA